GAUGUACACAGUGUCACGUGCUGCCAUUCUGCUCAGCAUCGUCUAUUUCUAUUCCUCUUUUGGCCGCUUUGUCGUGGUGAUCGGUGCCAUGCUGCUGGUUUAUCUGCACCAGGCUGGCUGGUUUCCCUUUAGAGCAGAACUGCAGAAUCCAAGAGCUGGAGAAGGCCCACAAGACGAGGCGGAGCAAAA
Sinocyclocheilus rhinocerous is the source of this 189-nucleotide long non-coding RNA. RefSeq lists it as uncharacterized. The transcript is spliced from 2 exons. NCBI's taxonomy places the organism in Eukaryota, Metazoa, Chordata, Actinopteri, Cypriniformes, Cyprinidae. The record is from RefSeq and is a predicted model, not a curated record.